GACGAACGCUGGCGGCGUGCUUAACACAUGCAAGUCGAACGGAAAGGCCCUGCUUUUGUGGGGUGCUCGAGUGGCGAACGGGUGAGUAACACGUGAGUAACCUGCCCUUGACUUUGGGAUAACUUCAGGAAACUGGGGCUAAUACCGGAUAGGAGCUCCUGCUGCAUGGUGGGGGUUGGAAAGUUUCGGCGGUUGGGGAUGGACUCGCGGCUUAUCAGCUUGUUGGUGGGGUAGUUGCUUACCAAGGCUUUGACGGGUAGCCGGCCUGAGAGGGUGACCGGCAACAUUGGGACUGAGAUACGGCCCAGACUCCUACGGGAGGCAGCAGUGGGGAAUAUUGCACAAUGGGCGGAAGCCUGAUGCAGCAACGCCGCGUGCGGGAUGACGGCCUUCAGGUUGUAAACCGCUUUCGCCUGUGACGAAGCGUGAGUGACGGUAAUGGGUAAAGAAGCACCGGCUAACUACGUG
This 468-nucleotide ribosomal RNA is filed under the name uncultured bacterium. RNAcentral describes it as "partial 16S ribosomal RNA". It matches the Rfam family "Bacterial small subunit ribosomal RNA", at positions 28 to 507 of the family's 1533-position model. The record is from RNAcentral.